AUUGAACGCUGGCGGCAGGCCUAACACAUGCAAGUCGAACGGUAGCACAGAGGAGCUUGCUCCUCGGGUGACGAGUGGCGGACGGGUGAGUAAUGUCUGGGGAUCUGCCCGAUAGAGGGGGAUAACCACUGGAAACGGUGGCUAAUACCGCAUAACGUCGCAAGACCAAAGAGGGGGACCUUCGGGCCUCUCACUAUCGGAUGAACCCAGAUGGGAUUAGCUAGUAGGCGGGGUAACGGACCAACUAGGCGACGAUCACUAGCUGGUCUGAGAGGAUGACCAGCAACACUGGACCGGGGACACGGUCCAGACUCCUACGGGAGGCAGCAGUGGGGAAUAUGGCACAAUGGGCGCAAGCCUGAUGCAGCCAUGCCGCGUGUAUGAAGAAGGCCUUCGGGUUGUAAAGUACUUUCAGCGGGGAGGAAGGCGAUGUGGUUAAUAACCGCGUCGAUUGACGUUACCCGCAGAAGAAGCACCGGCUAACUCCGUGCCAGCAGCCGCCGUAA
This 506-nucleotide ribosomal RNA is filed under the name uncultured bacterium. Its description in RNAcentral is "partial 16S ribosomal RNA". It matches the Rfam family "Bacterial small subunit ribosomal RNA", at positions 29 to 523 of the family's 1533-position model. The record is from RNAcentral.